This 166-nucleotide ribosomal RNA is filed under the name uncultured bacterium. RNAcentral describes it as "partial 16S ribosomal RNA". It matches the Rfam family "Bacterial small subunit ribosomal RNA", at positions 354 to 511 of the family's 1533-position model. The record is from RNAcentral.
GUAGGGAAUCUUCCACAAUGGACGAAAGUACUGAUGGAGCAACGCCGCGUGAGUGAAGAAGGGUUUCGGCUCGUAAAACUCUGUUGUUAAAGAAGAACAUAUCUGAGAGUAACUGUUCAGGUAUUGACGGUAUUUAACCAGAAAGCCACGGCUAACUACGUGCCUG